Molecule: ribosomal RNA, 429 nt
Filed under: bacterium
Lineage: Bacteria
Description: partial 16S ribosomal RNA
Rfam family: Bacterial small subunit ribosomal RNA
Source: RNAcentral
UAGGGAAUCUUCCACAAUGGACGCAACUCUGAUGGAGCAACGCCGCGUGAGUGAAGAAGGUUUUCGGAUCGUAAAGCUCUGUUGUUGGUGAAGAAGGAUAGAGGUAGUAACUGGCCUUUAUUUGACGGUAAUCAACCAGAAAGUCACGGCUAACUACGUGCCAGCAGCCGCGGUAAUACGUAGGUGGCAAGCGUUGUCCGGAUUUAUUGGGCGUAAAGCGAGCGCAGGCGGAAGAAUAAGUCUGAUGUGAAAGCCCUCGGCUUAACCGAGGAACUGCAUCGAAAACUGUUUUUCUUGAGUGCAGAAGAGGAGAGUGGAAUUCCAUGUGUAGCGGUGGAAUGCGUAGAUAUAUGGAAGAACACCAGUGGCGAAGGCGACUCUCUGGUCUGCAACUGACGCUGAGGCUCGAAAGCAUGGGUAGCGAACAGG